CGCACAAGAAAAGGUAGAACCUUUGGGAGGUACUUUCGUUCUACUUUACUAUAGCUGUUUUAGAUCUGCCGGUCGCUCUCUUGCAAGUGUGAGCCUAGCUCCCUCUCCUUGAUCUCUUCUUUUUGUUUUUAGCCGGAUUUGGCCUUUUAGCCAUCCCUUCGAUCAAAUAGAGCUUCCUAUCCUACGUUUUUCUUUUUUUCCCACGGUAGCGAUAUUCCUUUGCUACUUCUUUCCUCGGCUAAUGGAAAAAAAUCCUUCUUUUUAC
Molecule: long non-coding RNA, 265 nt
Filed under: Nicotiana benthamiana
Lineage: Eukaryota; Viridiplantae; Streptophyta; Magnoliopsida; Solanales; Solanaceae
Description: long non-coding RNA (NBEN_LNC016975)
Source: RNAcentral